UCCGGCUUAACGCCGGCAGUCCUUCUAGAGUGCCCAACUUAAUGGUGGCAACUAAAAGCAAGGGUUGCGCUCGUUGCGGGACUUAACCCAACACCUCACGGCACGAGCUGACGACAGCCAUGCAGCACCUGUCUUGGGACUCCGAAGAGGGACCGUGGUUUCUCACGGCUUUCCCCAAGAUGUCAAGCCCAGGUAAGGUUCUUCGCGUUGCAUCGAAUUAAACCACAUGCUCCGCUGCUUGUGCGGGGCCCCGUCAAUUCCUUUGAGUUUUAGCCUUGCGGCCGUACUCCCCAGGCGGGGUGCUUAAUGCGUUAGCUACGGCACGGAAGGAGUCGACACCUCCCACACCUAGCACCCAUCGUUUACGGCGUGGACUAC
This 378-nucleotide unclassified non-coding RNA is filed under the name uncultured bacterium. RNAcentral's name for it is "contains 16S-23S intergenic spacer region". The record is from RNAcentral.